Molecule: ribosomal RNA, 426 nt
Filed under: uncultured Rhodocyclaceae bacterium
Lineage: Bacteria; Pseudomonadati; Pseudomonadota; Betaproteobacteria; Rhodocyclales; Rhodocyclaceae
Description: bacterial SSU rRNA
Rfam family: Bacterial small subunit ribosomal RNA
Source: RNAcentral
GGGGAAUUUUGGACAUUGGGGGCAACCUUGAUCCGCCCAUGCCGCGUGAGUGAAGAAGGCCUUCGGUUUGUAAGGCUCUUCCGGAGGGAAAGAAAUCGCCGCUUCUAACAUGGGCGGGGGUUGCCGGUCCCGUAAGAAGAAGCACCGGCUAACUACGUGCCAGCAGCCGCGGUAAUACGUAGGGUGCGAGCGUUAAUCGGAAUUACUGGGCGUAAAGCGUGCGCAGGCGGUUUGGUAAGACAGGUGUGAAAUCCCCGGGCUUAACCUGGGAACUGCGCUUGUGACUGCCAGGCUAGAGUACGGCAGAGGGGGGUGGAAUUCCACGUGUAGCAGUGAAAUGCGUAGAGAUGUGGAGGAACACCGAUGGCGAAGGCAGCCCCCUGGGCCUGUACUGACGCUCAUGCACGAAAGCGUGGGGAGCAAACA